Molecule: transfer RNA, 65 nt
Filed under: Phyllotreta hemipoda
Lineage: Eukaryota; Metazoa; Arthropoda; Insecta; Coleoptera; Chrysomelidae
Description: tRNA-Pro
Source: RNAcentral
CAGAUAUUAGUUUAUUUAAAAAUUUUAAUUUUGGAGAUUAAAGAGGGAAGUUAUUCUAUAUCUGA